AUGGCUGGUCUGGGCCUUUCCCUCAGCUCUGCUCAGAAGUUGGGGGUGGGACAUGGGUCCGAAGAAACCCCAGGGUGGAUGGCGGCGGGGCAGGCAGGAGUGAGCGCCUGCUUCUGCAGGAGCCCCAGGCAAGGCGGCAGAGGUCCACGCACCCGGGCAUUGCGUGCUGAGUCACUUACUCGUGUCCAACUCUCUGUGACCCCAUGGACUGGCCAGGCUCCUCUGUCCACUCUCUCCUGGAGCUUGCUCAGACUCAUGUCCAUCCAGUCAGUGAUGCCAUCCAACCAUCUCAUCCUUUGUCACCCCCUUCUCCUCCCGCCCUCAGUCUUUCCCAGCAUCAGGGUCUUCUCCAGUGAGUCAGCUCUUUGCAUCAGGUGGCCAAAGUAUUGGAGCUUCAGGAUCAGUCCUUCCAAUGAAUAUUCAAGGUUGAAUUCCUUUAAGAUUGACUGGUUUGAUCUCCUUGCAUCCAAGGAUGUUAGCUUUCCUUUAAGAAGUGGGGACAGGCAGCCAUCCUGUGUGAACACAGCGACCCAGAGGGGGAGGUGGGCGGCCGGGCCUCUGAGUCGUCACCCAGGCCCGUGGGGUCCGGCUCUCAGGACAGUGAGUGAGGUCCCCCCUCGGUCUCCCCGCUCUGCCUCUCCUGCUGCUGCUUCUGAGUGGAAUCGCCGCCCCCCAGCCUGGCCGAUGCCUCGUGCCUCCUUGGGUCAGGGUUCCCUUCCCUCCUCUGCCCAGUGGCCCGUGACCUUCAGGGCUUCAGCUGCUCUUCCGUUCCAUGGAAUUCUCCAGGCCAGAAUACUGGAAAGGGUAGACUUUUCCUUCUACAGGGGAUCUUCCCAAUCCAGGGAUUGAAUCCAGGUCUCCUGCAUUGCAGGCAGAUUCCUUACCAGCACCUUCUUUUUAUUCCAGCUUCUGAUAUAAUUUCAAUUUACUAAAUUUGUUGGCAGAAUCUUAAAAAUGUAACCACGUCUUACUUGUUACCAUAUCUAUGUCUAUCUCAUGCCACAUGUCUCUUACUUGGCUAUUUAAGGGCUGGUUUGGCACAGUCUUGAGCCACUUGAACCUCCAUUUCCUCGUCUGUAAAAAGGAAGCAGUAAUUCAUAGUUACCUUGUGCAACAUUGUGACGUGAAAGUUACUCAGUCGUGUCUGACUCUUCGCAGCCAGAAUACUGGAGUGGGUUGUCAUGCCGCAUUGUGAAGUGAAAGUUACUCAGUCGUGUCUGACUCUUCGCAGCCAGAAUACUGGAGUGGGUUGUCAUGCCACCCUCCAGGGGAUCUUCCCAACCCAGGAGUCGACCUGGGGUCUCCUGCGUGGCAGGCAGGUCCUGUACCGACUGAGCUGCCGUUGCAGUGGCUGAGAAGCUCCGCGGCUGUCACAUAUGAAGGGCCCUGCAACGUUGCUUCCUUUUACUGGGCUUUUCCUUCUCUGGCUUUUUUGGAGGUGUGUGCAUGCUCCUUUUGUGACUAUUGCCAGAGAGGCUUUAGGGGCAGAUGUUCAGCAGACGUCCCGUCUCUGCGUAAAGAUGUUGUUAUUCAUGGGUGUACCGUUAAGAAUUUCGUGCAGCUGUGAACAGUAGAAAAUCUCAAAUAACAGCAGAUUAAAUAAGAGCACUUGUUUCCUUUCCACGUGAACCGAAUACAGAGCGGGUAGGCAGGGUUUAUGGAGCAUUUCUACAGAACAAGGUCUCUCUGCUGUGCUGUCCGAGCCCAUGGCUGCCGUGCAUAGUCCCCUCGGCCCCAGAAUGGCUGCUGAAGCUCCAGCCCUCGGGUUGGUGUUCCAUGCCACCCAAAGGGCAAAAAGGGCACCUCUCUUUAAGCAGCUCUUCAGGAAGUCCAUGUAACCCUUCGCCUGUAUCUAAUUUGUCUCAUGACCACACUAAUGCUGGGAAAGUGUUUCCUUCAGUGUGGAUCUCAGUGUGCCCAGCUAAAAUGGGGACUCUGUGAUGAAGGCGGGAAGAAGCUGGUGUUCAGCUGGUAACCGGCGUUGUCUGGUGUCUGUAGUCAUGGGAUUAUGGUCUCCAGGGCACUGGGGUCAGAGGGGCUGGUCUGGGAAGUGAGCCGUGUGUGGAGCCCUGUUUCCAGGUAUAAACAUCCUGCUUCAGAACAACAGCCUUGCGUGUGGUUUUUCAAACAGCCCGUGCUUAAGUGUAGAGCCACCUGUGAAUGAGGCACAGCAGCCGCUUCCGUCCACCUCCGUGGCUCACACCCAGGCUGGGCCGGAGCCGCCGCAAGCACAGCGCCUCUGCCCGCAGCCACCAGAGCCCGUCCCCACGUUGAUGGAGACCACUGGCUGGAGGUUGCACGUUAAAGACACGUUUGCUCUGAGCCAUCGUCACACAGUUAAUUAACUAAUUAGUUGCAACUGUGGUAAAACCCUGUUGCUGGGGAAAAUUGAAGGCAGGAGAAGGGGACAGCAGAGGAUGAGAUGGUUGGAUGGCAUCAUUGACUCAAUGGACAUGAAUUUGAGCAAGCUCCGGGAGAUAGUGAGGGGCAGGGAAGCCUGGCGUGCUGCAGUCCAUGGGGUCACAAAGAGUUGGACGUGACUUAGCGAGUAAACACCACCAACAGCAACGAGUGAUAUAAGCUUGUAUUCCAGAGAGAUCGAUCUGGAGAAGAGCCAAGUGGCUGGUAGUUUAGGCAGGAGCGGGGCGGGGGUUGGGGGGUUGUGAAGGGUCUCUCAGGGCCCGAGGAAGUAACCAGGGGCUUUGAAGGGAGGACCACAGUCAGCCUCAGUCCAGGAGCAGGAAUUCCAGCCUCCCUGCAGCUGGCUGGGGGCUCGAGUGAGACGGGGACACAGGCCUGCACAGCUUAUGAUAUAAAACAUUUUUUGAAUUAAGUUUCCUCAUUUAUCAUUCUGAUUAACACAGAACAUUUAUAAACCACAGCCUCUGGAAAAGUGGCACAAAAUGCAUUACACCGUGUUCCCCUCAGCCUCUUCCUGAUGAAAUAUACGAGGAGCCCGAGAUCAAAGGCACAGACGUCCAGGCGCCGUCUCAUCUCAGGGCCUGAUGGGGCGGGGCCGCCCCGCCCCCGCCCCUGCCUGUCAGCCUGCCUGGUGUGGGCUUGCUUCCUCCUGUGCACAUCUGGUCCUCGGGUCUGUUCCUCUCCCGGCUCCUGGGCUGGCUCCGAGGCCCGUCUUUGUUCUUCAGAAGGGCUUGGUCCAUCUGUCACCAGAAGCCUCAUGUCAUUAUCUGACUUACACCAGCGUUGCCGAUGUCCCCGGGGCGGGCUGGGGGGUUACAGGAUCAUGGAGAUCAGAACAGCAGAAAUGAUGGUGAACCGGGGGACAGGCCAAGGUUUGUCCCUAAGGCGCCUGUUGCCUCCGUUUGGGUGACUUAUGCGUGGAUUGGCCUGGAGCUGCCAGCACAGGCCGUCUGCCUCCAGCUUCCAAAAAGUGCAGCGGAGGUGUUAGUCACUCAGCCGUGCAACCCUCGGGACUGCAGCCAGGUUCCUCUGUCCGUGGACCUCUCCAGGCGAGAGUACUGGAGUGGGUAGCCAUUGCGUUCUCCAUUCCAUUGUAAUUCACACACAUGAUCUGAUCCUGCACUGCCAGGUGGAUUCUGUAGCAUCGAGCCGCCAGGGAAGCUCACUUUCUGGACACUGCGUGUCCGCUUCCCUCGAGGACAUGGGCUGAGCUGGUGACAGCACCCCCACUGACCAGCUGAGAGAGGGCACAGCUGGAGAGACCAGAGCCGACGCUGCAGCUGUGGGCGCUUCCUGCCUCUUCCCUGCGCCCCUUCGGUCCAUCGGUCCAUCAUCUUGACUCUGUCUUAUUUCUAGAACCUUAUUUCUAGACUCUCCCUCAGAAAUGGGCAAGGAAGGGAAGCCGUAUGCGUGAAGCUGGUCCCGUGGAGCACAGUUAGCCCCACUAUCACACACCUUUGCCUCGGGGGCUGAGAAAGGAAGGCUUAUGGGUUUAAAAAGCCCUCCAGUCUCGGCAGUUUUCCAGGACACGUAUUCGGAGUCGGUCGGAGGACGGAGGGUGGGAGAGUGGCUUUGCAGAAUGGCUGGCGUGCUUCUCAGCAAGGUGGCCGCAGCCGGGCGCCUCUGACGAAGGCUGCACGGUGGACGCCAGAUCAGGGUGAUGCAGAGGAACAGACGGUGCUCCCUCCAGCUCACUGCCGCCCCAGCCCGCNNNNNNNNNNNNNNNNNNNNNNNNNNNNNNNNNNNNNNNNNNNNNNNNNNNNNNNNNNNNNNNNNNNNNNNNNNNNNNNNNNNNNNNNNNNNNNNNNNNNCGACUCCGCGGGCAGCACCCCUCCGGGGGCGAAAGGCGGCCGCAAGCAGGCCUGGCGGUUCUCCCUUUCCCCGGGGGGAAGGGACGGGUGAAUGCCUGGCACUUUCACAUGGCCUGUGAAAUAGGCCAUUCUCCCCAUGGGAAGUCUAGAAAUACCCAUUAAGGCUGGUUUGUAUAUGCAGCACAGGGUGUAACACAGCCCUCAAAUGAGUAUCAUUAUCUUCAUCUGUGAACUGAGAGCCCUCUGGGGAUGGCCUGCCAGCCAGGUCCUCCAGCCUUGGGCGUGGGCAGAGCCCAGCCCUCCUCUCCCCUGCUCGGCCUCUCCCCGCAAAACCUCACUGAGCAGAGGUUCUAAGACGUGUUCAGAGGCCCUGUGAAACCUUGAGAAGGGAAGGAAGGAACUCGGGAGUGAAGCCACCCGUAAGAUGCGGAUUUUUCUUGACCCUUUCCUAAGCCCAUUCUCAUGAAGUGAUGGGACCAGAUGCCAUGAUCUUCGUUUUCUGAAUGUUGAGCUUUAAGCCAACUUUUUCACGCUCCUCUUUCACUUUCAUCAAGAGGCUUUUUAGUUCCUCUUCACUUUCUGCCAAAGGGGGUGUCCUCUUCAAUCCUUG
This 4842-nucleotide long non-coding RNA is filed under the name Ovis aries (sheep). RNAcentral's name for it is "lncRNA (ENSOARG00000026398.1)". Lineage: Eukaryota; Metazoa; Chordata; Mammalia; Artiodactyla; Bovidae. The record is from RNAcentral.